AUGCAGGUCUCCUCCUGCCAUGCCCUUGCAGGAAGCUUGUGUCGCCGCAAGAAGUUCAAAUGCCAUAGCAGUGGCCGGACAGAUUUGAUACAUGGUGCUCCCUCCCACAAAGUGGCUGUUGCUAGACGAGGAAUCAAACUCGCCUCCGCUGCUACCAACCCCACCACUGUUGGAGAGGAGAGGAGGAAUGCAAGCAUGAUUGAGCUGGGAUACCCGAGCCAAGAUUCUGAGGUCGAGGAAGCCGGUCUGGCGGAGCACGGCGUUGCAGACGCGGACUCCUCUGCCUUCUUGGCUUCAUGCUCCGUGUUCUCACCGGCCGCCUGGCCCGGUUGCAGAAAGAAUUAUGCCCAGCAAGUG
This 357-nucleotide ribosomal RNA is filed under the name Triticum aestivum (bread wheat). RNAcentral's name for it is "partial small subunit ribosomal RNA". The record is from RNAcentral. Lineage: Eukaryota; Viridiplantae; Streptophyta; Magnoliopsida; Poales; Poaceae.